This 348-nucleotide ribosomal RNA is filed under the name uncultured bacterium. Its description in RNAcentral is "bacterial SSU rRNA". It matches the Rfam family "Bacterial small subunit ribosomal RNA", at positions 124 to 471 of the family's 1533-position model. The record is from RNAcentral.
ACCUGCCGACAACACUGGGAUAGCCUUUCGAAAGAAAGAUUAAUACCGGAUGGCAUAGUCUUCCCGCAUGGGAUGACUAUUAAAGAAUUUCGGUUGUCGAUGGGGAUGCGUUCCAUUAGGCAGUUGGCGGGGUAACGGCCCACCAAACCAACGAUGGAUAGGGGUUCUGAGAGGAAGGUCCCCCACAUUGGAACUGAGACACGGUCCAAACUCCUACGGGAGGCAGCAGUGAGGAAUAUUGGUCAAUGGACGAGAGUCUGAACCAGCCAAGUAGCGUGAAGGAUGACUGCCCUAUGGGUUGUAAACUUCUUUUAUACGGGAAUAAAGUGAGCCACGUGUGGCUUUUUG